Molecule: long non-coding RNA, 1644 nt
Filed under: Nicotiana tabacum (common tobacco)
Lineage: Eukaryota; Viridiplantae; Streptophyta; Magnoliopsida; Solanales; Solanaceae
Description: long non-coding RNA (NTAB_LNC003729)
Source: RNAcentral
GAAUAUUUCGGGUUGGGGAUUCAAGACAAGAGUCUUGUUAUAAAUAGAGUCAUUGGACACAUUUUUAGGGGGGGGAGACUUAGACUAGGACUUGAACUUGAAAGACUUACUUAGAGAGAGAGGAAGACAUUCUGAAAAUCCUAAGAGAGUGUUGGAAAGUUUAAAAAGAGAAAACAAAAACAAAGUGAGAAACGUAUUUAGUUUCGGGUUUUUAAUACACGCGUGGGUUGUUGCUGUUUAGUUUGUUUACAAACUUUUGGGUUUGUUCUAUUGAGUUGUUCAGUUUUUCUUCAAAGUUUUCUGGGCCUUGAAUCUGGGUCAAAUUGCUGAUGUUGGUUUGCUGUUGUGUUGCUGUGUAUUUACACUACUGCUGCUUCUACUGAUCUUCAUCUUCUUUCCUUACUUUCCAAAUACCAGGUACACAAACUGAUAUACUGGUUCAUCUUGUAAGUCACUCGAAGCAUGAAUGCAAAAAUGAGAAAGAUUUGAAGUUGUAGUUUAAUGUAGUCUUUUCUUUCUUUUUUACUGUCUGUAUGUAGAAUAUUCUAUGCGCUGCCCAUACAAACUCUUUAAACGACUCACUUUCGAAAUAGCCUUAGAGUAUCUUUCAGUUGUCGAAAGGCUAUUUUCGUAAAAGAACGGACAAGUUUGUAAAGUGUCAUAAAGUAAUCCUCCCCGACCUCAAAAUUCAUGUGAAAUUUGGAAGGGGCCACAUUUGCAAAAAUAACCGCUUGGUUGCAUUUGUCAAACGGAGAAAGGAAGUUGGCCAUUUGCUUUUGGAGUUUGUAAAUCUUUUGAAAAGAAUAUGUGGGUUGUUUGAUUUUCGAGUUUGUAGGUCAUCUUCAAACCUUGAAACCCAGUUUGUUUUAAUAUGAAAAUUGAAGAAAAAAUUGUUUAGAAUUGUUUAUCUUUUAUUGGUCCGAACUACGCAAGGUCUGAUUCAUGCAGGGUCAUGAUACGUAGGCAAUCUCCAUAAGAUUCGACCACAACAAAAAAAAGAGAAAGAGAAAAAAAUGAAAAAAAAAUCAAAAAAGAAAGAAAGAAAAAUGAAAAAAAAAAGGGAAAAAGAUGUUGUUAAUAAUGAGGACCGACUGAGUCUAUUCUAACCUGUUUUGUUUUGAAUCGCAAGAAAGUUAAGGUGGUUGGUUUGUGGUAAGCCGGAAACACAAGAUCCAGGAGAACCGGAUUGUAAUCCAAGACAAUGACGCCCAGAAUAUCACGCAGAAUUCUUUACAUGCACAUCAUGAUACAUACUUUGCGGGGAUCAGGCCUGAUAACAGAAGCACUCGAAUCCUAUGGGGGACUUGUUGACUGAGGUUGAUGAUAUUGAAGUUGGUAAUAGUCUUGGCAAUAUUGAUACGAAGCUCAGUGGCUAAGAUGCCAGGUUUGAUAAAGUGGGAGGACGCUUCGUUCCUUGGUUAGCAAAAGAGAAGCUUUUGGUGGCUUAUUUUGUUGUCAUUUCUGUUGUCCGGAUUAUUAGGGUUGUAAUUCGGAUAUUGUCUUGUGUCAAACUUUCUUAUCUUUCCAUUUUGUCAUAGCGGUUUGUUUAAAUUUUGUCCAGGUUAUUUUAGGAUUUUAUUCUGGUUUGUUUUUGUUUGUUUUGUUAUUCAAACCAUUUCACCGGUAGUCUAACGCAAAAUCUGG